This 433-nucleotide ribosomal RNA is filed under the name uncultured bacterium. RNAcentral describes it as "partial 16S ribosomal RNA". It matches the Rfam family "Bacterial small subunit ribosomal RNA", at positions 29 to 507 of the family's 1533-position model. The record is from RNAcentral.
AACGAACGCUGGCGGCAUGCCUAACACAUGCAAGUCGAACGAGACCUUCGGGUCUAGUGGCGCACGGGUGCGUAACGCGUGGGAACCUGCCCUUAGGUUCGGAAUAACUCCCCGAAAGGGGUGCUAAUACCGGAUAAUGUAUCCGGAGCAAAGAUUUAUCGCCUUUGGAUGGGCCCGCGUUGGAUUAGAUAGUUGGUAGGGUAAAAGCCUACCAAGGCGACGAUGCAUAGCUGGUCUGAGAGGAUGAUCAGGCACACUGGGAGUGAGACACGGUGCAGACUCCUACGAGAGGCAGCAGUGGGGAAUAUUGAACGAUGGGCGAAAGCCUGAUGCAGCAAUGCCGCGUGAGUGAUGAAGGCCUGAGGGUUGUAAAGCUCUUUUACACGGGAUGAUAAUGACAGUACCGGAAGAAUAAGCUCCGGCUAACUCCGUG